RNAcentral lists this ribosomal RNA (254 nucleotides) under uncultured bacterium. RNAcentral's name for it is "partial 16S ribosomal RNA". It matches the Rfam family "Bacterial small subunit ribosomal RNA", at positions 524 to 776 of the family's 1533-position model. The record is from RNAcentral.
UACGGGGGGGGGCAAGCGUUGUUCGGAAUUACUGGGCGUAAAGGGCGCGUAGGCGGCCUUCUAAGUCGGACGUGAAAUCCCUCGGCUUAACCGAGGAACUGCGUCCGAUACUGAAAGGCUUGAAUCCGGGAGAGGGAUGUGGAAUUCCAGGUGUAGCGGUGAAAUGCGUAGAUAUCAGGAGGAACACCGGUGGCGAAGGCGAUUCUCUGGGCCUUACCUGACGCUGAGGAGUGAAAGCGUGGGGAGCGAACAGG